GGCGGACGGGUGAGUAAUAUAUCGGAACGUGUCCAAUAAUGGGGGAUAACUAGUCGAAAGGCUGGCUAAUACCGCAUACGCCCUGAGGGGGAAAGCUGGGGAUCUUCGGACCUAGCGUUAAUGGAGCGGCCGAUACCUGAUUAGCUAGUUGGUGGGGUAAAAGCCUACCAAGGCAACGAUCAGUAGCUGGUCUGAGAGGACGACCAGCCACACUGGGACUGAGACACGGCCCAG
This 234-nucleotide ribosomal RNA is filed under the name uncultured bacterium. Its description in RNAcentral is "partial 16S ribosomal RNA". It matches the Rfam family "Bacterial small subunit ribosomal RNA", at positions 97 to 334 of the family's 1533-position model. The record is from RNAcentral.